UUGGAUUUAUUUUUUAUCUUUUUUUAAUUUAACAUACAAAUUGUGAAUAUUCUUGUUCAUUCAGGCCAUUUUCAGGGUAUUGAAUCGCUGCAACUGGACUGUUCGGGUGGUCUCAGUAGACUUUCUCUUUGAUGGGCAGUCCGAGAGGAUGGUGCAGGACCCAACGUAUUUAACCUCUAAAAAGAAAACAAAGAGCAAGACUAUGUUCCCACUGGAAAUUAUGGCUCAUGGUGCAAACAAAGACCCAGAUCCACUCUUCCAGUACUUUCCCAUCUUUGCUGACAUGUCACUGCUCAUCUUCCACCUCUGCAG
Nerophis ophidion (straightnose pipefish) is the source of this 312-nucleotide long non-coding RNA. RefSeq lists it as uncharacterized. Lineage: Eukaryota; Metazoa; Chordata; Actinopteri; Syngnathiformes; Syngnathidae. The record is from RefSeq and is a predicted model, not a curated record. The transcript has 3 exons.